This is a non-coding RNA of Merluccius polli (Benguela hake), 74 nucleotides long. The record is from the annotation of a GenBank genome assembly. Lineage: Eukaryota; Metazoa; Chordata; Actinopteri; Gadiformes; Merlucciidae.
GCCUUGCUCAACUUGUAGAGCAUGGCGUUACCACUGCCAGGGUGAGGAGGUUCAAUUCCCACUGGCCAUGCUCA